Carassius gibelio (silver crucian carp) is the source of this 1619-nucleotide long non-coding RNA. RefSeq lists it as uncharacterized. The transcript is spliced from 3 exons. The record is from RefSeq and is a predicted model, not a curated record. NCBI's taxonomy places the organism in Eukaryota, Metazoa, Chordata, Actinopteri, Cypriniformes, Cyprinidae.
UGCACUUUUUUUCUUUUUUUUUUUUCAGUGUAUGUUUUAAGUGCAGAGAAUCCAGCAGUGACCCCCAAAUCCCUCAGUUUAGUUUAUUGUGACACGCCAGUUCGCUCGUGGUGUUCAGAUACAUGUAUCCAUAGACCUUCACUUUCAGUCUCCCCUCAGGUGUCCUGGGCAACCCAUCUUUCCAUAAACCCCCAGCUUAUCUGUUGACAGCCUGUCCAGUCUGCUGAGAGGCUCAACUCUUUGACCAUACUUCCAUAUCAUGGAUGCAGAACAACCAUGUCCAAACUAGAGAUACCAGCAUGCAGUCGCGGUGCAGGUGGCUGGGAGAUCUCAGUUGGCGAGAUUACUUAUUCACUGGAAAAAGCUAUAUUAUGGAUAGAGGAUAGAGAUCGAAAAACACAGCUAUUCACUACACACGAUGUUAACUGAUGGACUGGAGAGGUGUGGAUUUCUUGUGGAUUAGUGUGAUGUUUGUAUCAGCUGUUUGGACUCUGACGGCACCCAACCAUUUUGAUGUAAUGCUAAACUUCUCCAAAUCCUCAUACUCAUCUACAUCUUGGAUUUCGUGAGGUGAGAGUUUGAACGAUGUGAGGGUGAGUAAAUGGCUCAUUUUAAUUUUUGUGUGAACACUGGUAUAUCCACUGUAACCUACUUGGUUAUUAUGAUCAUCUUUUAUGAUAAGGGGAAUUAAUACUCUAAUUGUUAAUCUGCAGUAAUGGGUGAGUGCCUGAUUCCAGUUUCUUUACCUAGUAACUUUACAUUAGUACAUAUUAGUGCAUAAUAUUACUGCACCAGGGCUUGGUAUCAGGAUAAUGUCUUUGUGAGGGCCUGGGUCAUUGCACAACUGGAUGCUUCACAAAAAAAAAAAAAAAAAAAAAGUGAAGAAAGAAGGGGGAGGAGUAUGGCAACUGUCAUCACAAACAAGAAACAGCUGUCUCAUUUGUGUAACUUGUUUUCUUUUAAUAUGAGAAGUAUGUUGGUAGAGAUCUUUGAGUUUUGAGGAAGGCCUGAUAGGAGAGAGGAAUGAUUCUUCCAGACCUUUGGUGAAUUUAUGGGUUUCUCGGCAGACAAAUUCUCUCCUUGUGUUCUCUGAGGUGAGUUUAGGGAAAUGUUAGUUUAUUAGAAAUCGAUACUCCAAAUUAAACUUAACCCCCUAAAAAAAACCACUGGCCCCCUAAUAAUAAAGAUUUUUGUAAUAAUAAUAAUAAAAUUAAUUAAAAUUAAACAUGGACAUCUGAAACACAACCUUAAAGUAUUUAGACUUGCAAAAAACUUGCAUAAUGUGUAGAAUUAGGGUUGCCAAGUCUGCGGUUUUCACACAGAAUUAGGCUGCUUUUAUAAUGUUGUCACGAGUUGAAGCAAACCUGUUGACCCCCCUGGAACGUGACCGAGGUAAAACCCCCUCAGGGUGAUUUUGGAGUGAUUUUGAAAGUCAAUUUCCCCCGGAAUGCGACUGGGCUACUUUUGAUGAUGAUUGAGUUUUGUUAAGCAGACCUGGCAACCCUGUGUAGAAUCCUCUCUUAACCUCUUCCCAUUGCCACUGAAUACCGUGCAGUUGCAUUACUACUAUUUCUUAUUCUAGAGUUUGUGAGAAGAGCAAUCAUUUAAGACGGGGUCAC